Brassica napus (rape) is the source of this 1085-nucleotide long non-coding RNA. RefSeq lists it as uncharacterized. The record is from RefSeq and is a predicted model, not a curated record. The transcript has 3 exons. NCBI's taxonomy places the organism in Eukaryota, Viridiplantae, Streptophyta, Magnoliopsida, Brassicales, Brassicaceae.
GCGUGCUGAGAUGAAGAGAUCAAAUCGCGUUUGAUAUGUUCUGUGGAAUCUGAGAUGGCUGGAUCAAACGUGCUUAAGCACGGGUCAUUUGACAGAGGAAUACGCAGCAUCAAAGGUAGCGGGAAAGGAGAGGCUACAUUGGAGAGGAGCAUCACGGGUUCUUUUAUUUGUGUCAGUUUGUAUUGUAUCAGUUUGUGUCAGUUUGGCUUGUCUCGGCUUGAUUCAGUUUGUCACGGGUUUCAGUGUGCAUGUGCAUCACGCAGUUUGUAUAUUUGAUCACACAAUACCAACUACUUGAACAAAUAAACACACGUUUAACACAUUACCAAUACCAAUACCAACUACAUUUGAUCAUUUGUAUUAUAUAAUUCACUGCUAUUGCUCUCUACUUCUAACAUCACGCAAACUCAUCUACUCUCUUUUUCUAACAAAACCAAAUUCAUCUUCUCUCUAUUCUCUCUACUUUUAUCAAGCAUACUCAUCUUCUUCUUUUUUCCUCUCUUUGAUCACAAGUUUAUAAAACUCUUUAAUCAUUUCUAUGGCUUCUUCUUCUCAAAACACAUUUGAUGAAUCAUCUGAUGAUACAUUUGAUGACAUAUUUGAUCAAAAAUUUGAUGAAAAAUUUGAUCAAUUCUUUGAUCAAGCGUUUGAGAAUUUAAAUAUUAGUGGUGGUCAAAAAAAAGAAAAGAAAACCCCGAGCUUAUAUCGAAAGAAAUCGUGAAGAAGGGCAUAUUCAUUUAUGGAAUGAUUAUUUCUGUGAUACUCCAACGUAUCCUGAUAAUUUAUUCCGACGACGUUUUCGAAUGAACAAGCCAUUGUUCAUGCACAUUGUUGAUCGACUCUCCAACGAAGUUCUAUAUUUUCGGGAAAAGAAAGAUGGUCUCGGAAGGAUUAGUCUCUCUCCUCUUCAAAAGUGCACCGCAGCCAUUCGUGUCUUGGCGUAUGGUUCUGCAGCUGAUGCGGUCGACGAAUACCUCCGGCUCGGUGAAACAACAACUCGGUUAUGUGUGGAAAAUUUGGUAGAAGGAAUAAUAUAUUUGUUCGGCGAUGAGUACUUAAGAAGACCAACACCGGCUGAUCUUCAA